This 74-nucleotide ribosomal RNA is filed under the name Triticum aestivum (bread wheat). Its description in RNAcentral is "rRNA SSU_rRNA_eukarya". The record is from RNAcentral. Lineage: Eukaryota; Viridiplantae; Streptophyta; Magnoliopsida; Poales; Poaceae.
AUGCCGACCAGUGAUCGGCUGAUGUUGCUUAUAGGGCUCCGCCGGCACCUUAUGAGAAAUCAAAGUCUUUGGGU